RNAcentral lists this ribosomal RNA (480 nucleotides) under Eukiefferiella brundini. RNAcentral describes it as "eukaryotic LSU rRNA". It matches the Rfam family "Eukaryotic large subunit ribosomal RNA", at positions 445 to 799 of the family's 3401-position model. The record is from RNAcentral. Lineage: Eukaryota; Metazoa; Arthropoda; Insecta; Diptera; Chironomidae.
GAGAGAUUCAAUAUCGCUCGCAAGGGCAAUGUGCACUUCUCUCUUAGUAAGACGCUGUGAUCCAUUAGAAAUUGACCGUUCCCUCGGUUAUUUGGCUAUCAAUAGGCCAGCAUGAAGUUCCUCAAUGCAAACAACUCAAUCUUCAAUGGUCGGGUAUAUUGUCUGGGGAGCAUGUUGUGUCCUGUCUAAUAGCUGUCUGAUGGAUUUUAAAGGCCAUAUUAUCGAUGCUCCGGCACCGCUCGUACGCGAGAAUUUGAUAUGUGCCCGAUCAACAGCGGUUCACUUUGGGAUACCUUUUGGACCCGUCUUGAAACACGGACCAAGGAGUCUAUCUAGUAUGCGAGUAAAUGAGUACAUGAAACUUAUUUGCAGAAAAAACUUGACUGUUAUGGGACUACGAGCAGCAUUCGCGUGCUGCUCCUCAAUCCCGGGGUAUUUUUAUCAACAUAUGCAGCAAUGCAUAUGGAAAAUAUACCAUGA